Molecule: ribosomal RNA, 468 nt
Filed under: uncultured bacterium
Lineage: Bacteria
Description: partial 16S ribosomal RNA
Rfam family: Bacterial small subunit ribosomal RNA
Source: RNAcentral
GACGAACGCUGGCGGCGUGCUUAACACAUGCAAGUCGAACGGAAAGGCCCUGCUUUUGUGGGGUGCUCGAGUGGCGAACGGGUGAGUAACACGUGAGUAACCGGCCCUUGACUUUGGGAGAACAUCAGGAAACUGGGGCUACUACCGGAUAGGAUCUGCUGUUGCAUGGUGGGGGUUGGAAAGUUUCGGCUGUUGGGGAUGGACUCGCGGCUUACCAGCUUGUUGGUGGGGUAGUGGCUUACCAAGGGUUUGACGGGUAGCCCGCCUGUGAGGGUGAGCGGCAGCAUUGGGACUUAGAUGCGGCCCCGACUCCUACGGGAGGCAGCAGUGGGGAAGAUUGCACAAUGGGCGGAAGCCUGAUGCAGCAACGCCUCGUGCGGGAUGACGGCCUUCGGGUUGUAAACCGCUUUCGCCUGUGACGAAGCGUGUGUGACCGUAAUGGGUAAAGAAGCCCCGGCUAACUACCUU